RNAcentral lists this ribosomal RNA (373 nucleotides) under uncultured organism. RNAcentral describes it as "bacterial SSU rRNA". It matches the Rfam family "Bacterial small subunit ribosomal RNA", at positions 526 to 896 of the family's 1533-position model. The record is from RNAcentral.
CGUAGGGCGCGAGCGUUGUCCGGAAUUAUUGGGCGUAAAGAGCUCGUAGGCGGCUUGUCACGUCGGGUGUGAAAGCCCGGGGCUUAACCCCGGGUCUGCAUUCGAUACGGGCUAGCUAGAGUGUGGUAGGGGAGAUCGGAGUUCCUGGUGUAGCGGUGAAAUGCGCAGAUAUCAGGAGGAACACCGGUGGCGAAGGCGGAUCUCUGGGCCAUUACUGACGCUGAGGAGCGAAAGCGUGGGGAGCGAACAGGAUUAGAUACCCUGGUAGUCCACGCCGUAAACGGUGGGAACUAGGUGUUGGCGACAUUCCACGUCGUCGGUGCCGCAGCUAACGCAUUAAGUUCCCCGCCUGGGGAGUACGGCCGCAAGGCUA